RNAcentral lists this ribosomal RNA (253 nucleotides) under uncultured bacterium. RNAcentral describes it as "partial 16S ribosomal RNA". It matches the Rfam family "Bacterial small subunit ribosomal RNA", at positions 524 to 776 of the family's 1533-position model. The record is from RNAcentral.
UACGAGGGGGGCAAGUGUUGUUCGGAAUCACUGGGCGUAAAGGGAGCGUAGGCGGGAAUUUAAGUUGGAUGUUUAAACCUGGGGCCCAACCCCAGCUCGGCAUCCAAAACUGGGUUUCUUGAAUAGUGGAGAGGUAGAUGGAAUUUCCGGUGUAGCGGUGGAAUGCGUAGAUAUCGGAAAGAACACCAGUUGCGAAGGCGAUCUACUGGACACAUAUUGACGCUGAGGCUCGAAAGCAUGGGGAGCAAACAGG